AUUGAACGCUGGCGGCAGGCCUAACACAUGCAAGCCGAGCGGAUGAGGGGAGCUUGCUUCCUGAUUCAGCGGCGGACGGGUGAGUAAUGCCUAGGAAUCUGCCUGGUAGUGGGGGACAACGUUUCGAAAGGAACGCUAAUACCGCAUACGUCCUACGGGAGAAAGUGGGGGAUCUUCGGACCUCACGCUAUCAGAUGAGCCUAGGUCGGAUUAGCUAGUUGGUGAGGUAAAGGCUCACCAAGGCGACGAUCCGUAACUGGUCUGAGAGGAUGAUCAGUCACACUGGAACUGAGACACGGUCCAGACUCCUACGGGAGGCAGCAGUGGGGAAUAUUGGACAAUGGGCGAAAGCCUGAUCCAGCCAUGCCGCGUGUGUGAAGAAGGUCUUCGGAUUGUAAAGCACUUUAAGUUGGGAGGAAGGGCUGUAGGCUAAUAUCCUGCAGUUUUGACGUUACCGACAGAAUAAGCACCGGCUAACUUCGUGCCAGCCGCCGCAGUAA
This 500-nucleotide ribosomal RNA is filed under the name uncultured bacterium. Its description in RNAcentral is "partial 16S ribosomal RNA". It matches the Rfam family "Bacterial small subunit ribosomal RNA", at positions 30 to 523 of the family's 1533-position model. The record is from RNAcentral.